This 658-nucleotide long non-coding RNA is filed under the name Homo sapiens (human). RNAcentral describes it as "HSALNT0325904". Lineage: Eukaryota; Metazoa; Chordata; Mammalia; Primates; Hominidae. The record is from RNAcentral.
GGCUGGAACACCAUUCCUCUAGGUGUCGACAUCGGUUUUCACCAGCUGCAUGCUAGCUAUUCCUGAUGUCUGUAAAGCGGGUAGAUCACUCUCAACACUCUUCCAUCUAUGAUCUCACUGUAUCCUUGCCAUGAUUGGGUGCUCUCCCAAUUUAACAAAUAUGUAAACACGGUCCCAGAGAGCCCAAGUGACUUGUCUAAAGUCACACAGCCAGGAGCUGAGCUGGGACAAUAAUCCAGACUGUGACUCUCAAGAACUACAUGUUGCCUCCAAAGUCCUCUGUCUCACAUGAACAUGAGAAAGCCGGGACAGGAGGGGCUUUCUGACACUCCAUGGAACCUUCUCAAGCAGACAGUGAGCAACACGUGUGUCUAUACCAUAUAGUCCAGCUUCAAUCAAUGGUCUCCUUGCUCCAGUUACUCAGUUGAGCUGCAGAAACUUCUGGUUGGUCUGUGAUUGAUGGAAAGGCCUGAUUCUGUGCAGAUGUAAUUCUUCUAAAAACAGGAGGUGCCCUCCAGGCACAAAUGUCUAGGAAACCAUGAAAAUAAAAAGGCAGCACUGAUUCCAAAGUCUUGUUGACCAAACUUUUAAGAUAGAAAUUUAAAAUUUAUCCAUUCUAGUAUAUUCUAAUGUUGCGUCUGGAAGGUCAAGGAACCAC